Non-coding RNA from Heterocephalus glaber (naked mole-rat), 2335 nucleotides. The record is from RefSeq and is a predicted model, not a curated record. NCBI's taxonomy places the organism in Eukaryota, Metazoa, Chordata, Mammalia, Rodentia, Bathyergidae.
AGAACAUUGGCAACACUCAGCCAAGUUGCUGGGUCGGGUGAGGGGAUCCAAAGGGGAAACGAGCCUGACCCAGAGGGUUCUAAGAGGCCGAGGUGGGUGCAGGGGCAGAGAAGGCUGCAUGGGGAAAAGGAAGCAGCUGGCGAGGGGACAGGUCCUGGGCCUGGGGCCCUGGGAACUCAUUACCUGUUCAAAGAACUCAUCCAUAAAGUGGUCCCGAUCCACGUGAACCACCUCCUCCUCAUCGUCACUGUCUUUCGCCUGGAGGCAAAGGAAGGCUAGAUCCGUGAGCAGCCCCAACCCGGACCCCCAAGACGGGCACUUGAGCAUGCUAACCCUCUACCUGCUACCCACCCCUCAGUUCCAGGCUGAGAGAGGGCUCUUGGGGAGGACCAUGGGCAGAGGGACGCUGAGAGCAUCAAAAGUCAGAAUGAAGACUGGACUGUCCUGUGAAGCAAGGCUCUGGAGGCCAAGACAGCUCUCAGGCCAAAGGGCUCUCGAGGAAUUAAGCAAAAAUCAUCUCUGGGCUGCCUGUCUUGUGGGUCAGACUUAUCCAGGAAGGGGAUGGUAUUCAGACCAGCUGCCACUGACCAACCGCUAUGGAUGCAUUUCAGUAUUUUUUUUUCAGGUACCAGGGAUCGAACUGAGGACCUUGCACUUGCAAGGCAGGCACGGCUCCACUGAGCUAAAUCCCCGGCCCCUGCAUGUCAGUAUUUUAACCACCAAGUACUAAAUGUCAGCCUUGCAACAAGGAGCCUUGAAUGGUGUCCCAGGAGCCUGGACCUCGUCGGCAAUCUCUAGCAAACCUGCCCAGGUCUUGAUUUGCUCCUGUUCUCUCCCUUGCUGCCCCACACCCAGCCAUGUGCCCGACAGCAGGGCCCAGUGAGCAAGCACAGCCAGGCCGAGCAAGCACAGCCAGGCUGGGAGGGCCGGAGGGCUGCAGGCAGCAAGCGCUCUGUUGUCAGUGCUCCCUCUCCCGCCCACUCCUGACCCUCCCGGCAGCGGCUCUUCUCUGCUUUCACUCACUCUCACCCAGCCCCUUCCACCACACACACACCCACUCUCCCUUGUUCGGAUUUCCCACUUGCAACCUGCAGCUGCUCAGCCCUCCACCCGCAGAGCCAAGACACAAAGGGAUUUGCCCACCCACACCACCACCGCCGACAGACAGACCAGUGACACAGACAGAAGAGCUGACACAGGCACAGAAAUAGGCCUGACGCCCACGGACCCUGGCGUGCUGAUGUGCACUUGCACACAGACUAAUGGCGAAGUGCGCUGACAUGCACACGCAUGAGCUGAGGUCCCGGUGCAUACCCAGAGCUGGGAAGAGGGGGCAGGGAGGCCUUCCCAGGCUUCCCACGCCUGACUUCACACUCCUCUCUGCUGGGACAGGGGUCUGAGGACAAAAUCCGAGCCCAUGGGCCGGGGAUGUAGCUCAGUGGCACCGUGCCUGCCUCACAAGCGCAAGCUCCUGAGUUCGAUCGCCGGAACCAAAAAAAAAAAACCAACCCGAGCCCAUGAAGCUUAAUUGCAUCUGGAGCCCUAAUCAGGCCCAGUGGAAAUUUAAACAGCUCAUCCUGAUUUCCAGAAAGAAUCUGGGUAGAGCUCAGGCAGAAUCUAGACUGGAGAGCCUGAACGAAACCAAGGCAGGAUCCAAACAGCCUCUGCCUGGGGUGCAGCCAGCUGCGACCCAGAAGACUGAGCAGACAGCUCAGGCUGGACUGGACCAGGCUCAGCCAGGUCCCAGACAGCUCAGCUUAAAUCUAGACAGAGCUGUGGGACCCGAAUGCAGCCCACACAGCCUAGAGAACUCAAAUGGGAAUGGGCAGGCCCCACUGCCCUGGGAGAGCCGGCACCACAUUUGGCCCAAGCUGCUCGGCCUCCCUCCGUCCUGUGGACAGGACAGACAGGAGCCACCCCUGGCCAGCAUGUGCUCAGACGCAGACGUCCCAUCUCUGCCAGGAAAGGGUGGCUGUUUCACCCAUGCCGCCCACACAGGAGGGUGGCACAGUGCUGGCCAUGGAACCCAAGGCUUCGAAUAUGGCAGGCAAAACCUGUACCCCAUGACUUUGACCUAUCGCUUCAGAUCUCACAGACAACCUUGCAAGCCUUCCUCACUCCAAGAGCCAUGAAAGAUUUUCUCCUUAUUUUCUUGAGAGUCCCAUAAAGCUGACAGCCCCAAAUUCUAAGUCAUCAGUCUGCCCACGCUCCCGUACCCAAAAGAAAUGAAGGCGAAUUCAGCAAGGGUCCACCAUCCUCGGCCUCGCAGGUCCCUGGGUAGUCAGCACCCUGCGCCCCACCUCGCCGGCACCGCAGGGGCGUAGCUGGUACGUCG